UCCGCUGUGCUGAGACAUUGA
RNAcentral lists this non-coding RNA (21 nucleotides) under Arabidopsis thaliana (thale cress). The record is from RNAcentral. Lineage: Eukaryota; Viridiplantae; Streptophyta; Magnoliopsida; Brassicales; Brassicaceae.